This 301-nucleotide ribosomal RNA is filed under the name uncultured bacterium. Its description in RNAcentral is "partial 16S ribosomal RNA". It matches the Rfam family "Bacterial small subunit ribosomal RNA", at positions 509 to 808 of the family's 1533-position model. The record is from RNAcentral.
CAGUCGCCGCGGGAAUACGGAGGGGGCUAGCGUUGUUCGGAAUUACUGGGCGUAAAGCGCACGUAGGCGGCUUGGUAAGUUAGAGGUGAAAGCCCGGAGCUCAACUCCGGAAUUGCCUUUAAGACUGCCGAGCUAGUAGGUGAGAGAGGUAAGUGGAAUUCCGAGUGUAGAGGUGAAAUUCGUAGAUAUUCGGAAGAACACCAGUGGCGAAGGCGGCUUACUGGCUCAUUCUAGACGCUGAGGUGCGAAAGCGUGGGGAGCAAACAGGAUUAGAUACCCCGUAGUCCCUGUCUCUUAUACA